CCUACCGAUUGGGUAAUGCGGUGAAAAUACUGGAUGUUUUGUUGUCUCUUUUUGAGGGGCAGGAGAAUAGAAAGUAAUUGAACCUUAAUAUCUAGAGGAAGGAGAAGUCGUAACAAGGUA
RNAcentral lists this ribosomal RNA (120 nucleotides) under Endolimax nana. Its description in RNAcentral is "partial small subunit ribosomal RNA". It matches the Rfam family "Eukaryotic small subunit ribosomal RNA", at positions 1681 to 1801 of the family's 1831-position model. The record is from RNAcentral. Lineage: Eukaryota; Evosea; Mastigamoebida; Endamoebidae.